This 460-nucleotide ribosomal RNA is filed under the name uncultured bacterium. RNAcentral's name for it is "partial 16S ribosomal RNA". It matches the Rfam family "Bacterial small subunit ribosomal RNA", at positions 338 to 795 of the family's 1533-position model. The record is from RNAcentral.
CCUACGGGAGGCAGCAGUGAGGAAUAUUGGUCAAUGGACGAGAGUCUGAACCAGCCAAGCAGCGUGCAGGAUGACUGCCCUAUGAGUUGUAAACUUCUUUUAUAUGGGAAUAAACUGAUCCACGCGUGGGAUUCUGUAUGUACCAUAUGAAUAAGGAUCGGCUAACUCCGUGCCAGCAGCCGCGGUAAUACGGAGGAUCCAAGCGUUAUCCGGAUUUAUUGGGUUUAAAGGGAGCGUAGGUGGAUUGUUAAGUCAGUUGUGAAAGGUUGCGGCUCAACCGCCAAAUUGCAGUUGAAACUGGCAGGCUUGAGUACAGUAGAGGUGGGCGGAAUUCGUGGUGUAGCGGUGAAAUGCUUAGAGAUCACGAAGAACUCCGAUUGCGAAGGCAGCUUACUGGACUGCAUCUGACACUGAGGCUCGAAAGUGUGGGGAUCAAACAGGAUUAGAUACCCCAGUAGUC